AAAUCAGUUAUCGUUUAUUUGAUAGUACCUUACUACUUGGAUAACCGUGGUAAUUCUAGAGCUAAUACAUGCUGAAAACCCUGACUUCGGAAAGGGUGUAUUUAUUAGAUAAAAAACCAAUGCCCUUUGGGCUCUUUGGUGAUUCAUGAUAACUUAACGGAUCGCAUGGCCUUGCGCCGGCGACGGUUCAUUCAAAUUUCUGCCCUAUCAACUUUCGAUGGUAAGGUAUUGGCUUACCAUGGUUUCAACGGGUAACGGGGAAUUAGGGUUCGAUUCCGGAGAGGGAGCCUGAGAAACGGCUACCACAUCCAAGGAAGGCAGCAGGCGCGCAAAUUACCCAAUCCCGACACGGGGAGGUAGUGACAAUAAAUACUGAUACAGGGCUCUUUUGGGUCUUGUAAUCGGAAUGAGUACAAUUUAAACCUCUUAACGAGGAACAAUUGGAGGGCAAGUCUGGUGCCAGCAGCCGCGGUAAUUCCAGCUCCAAUAGCGUAUAUUAAAGUUGUUGCAGUUAAAAAGCUCGUAGUUGAAUCUUGGGCCUGGCUGGCCGGUCCGCCUCACCGCGUGUACUGGUCUGGCCGGGCCUUUCCUUCUGGAGAACCUCAUGCCCUUCAGUGGGUGUGUUGGGGAACCAGGACUUUUACUUUGAAAAAAUUAGAGUGUUCAAAGCAGGCCUUUGCUCGAAUACGUUAGCAUGGAAUAAUAGAAUAGGACGUGCGGUCCUAUUUUGUUGGUUUCUAGGACCGCCGUAAUGAUUAAUAGGGAUAGUCGGGGGCAUCAGUAUUCAAUUGUCAGAGGUGAAAUUCUUGGAUUUAUUGAAGACUAACUACUGCGAAAGCAUUUGCCAAGGAUGUUUUCAUUAAUCAGUGAACGAAAGUUAUGGGAUCGAAGACGAUCAGAUACCGUCGUAGUCUUAACCGUAAACUAUGCCGACUAGGGGAUCGGCGAUGUUUCUAUUCUUGACUCGCC
Molecule: ribosomal RNA, 969 nt
Filed under: Pseudolophiostoma mangiferae
Lineage: Eukaryota; Fungi; Ascomycota; Dothideomycetes; Pleosporales; Lophiostomataceae
Description: SSU rRNA
Rfam family: Eukaryotic small subunit ribosomal RNA
Source: RNAcentral